Non-coding RNA from Thiomonas intermedia K12, 117 nucleotides. The record is from Rfam. Lineage: Bacteria; Pseudomonadati; Pseudomonadota; Betaproteobacteria; Burkholderiales.
CGCGUUUUUCGCCCAGGCGGAGCUCGACCGCCGACUCAAGAGCUGAGGAACUUCGUCGACGAACAUCGGCAGGCCUUCGGGGUCGAGCCGAUCUGCAAAGUUCUGCAGAUCGCCCCA